RNAcentral lists this ribosomal RNA (514 nucleotides) under uncultured bacterium. RNAcentral describes it as "bacterial SSU rRNA". It matches the Rfam family "Bacterial small subunit ribosomal RNA", at positions 23 to 518 of the family's 1533-position model. The record is from RNAcentral.
CUUAGAACGAACGCUGGCGGCGUGCUAACACAUGCAAGUCGAACGCGAAAGGGACUUCGGUCCUGAGUAAAGUGGCGCACGGGUGAGUAACGCGUAGAUAACCUGUCUUCAUGUCUGGAAUAAUACGCCGAAAGGGGUACUAAUACCGGAUAUUCUUGCUUUUCAUAAGUUAUGCAAGCAAAGGUGGCCUCUGCAUAUGCUACUGCAUGAAGAGGGGUCUGCGUACCAUUAGCUAGUAGGUGGGGUAAUGGCCUACCUAGGCGACGAUGGUUAGCGGGUCUGAGAGGAUGAUCCGCCACACUGGCACUGGAACACGGGCCAGACUCCUACGGGAGGCAGCAGUGAGGAAUAUUGCGCAAUGGGGGAAACCCUGACGCAGCGACGCCGCGUGAGUGAGGAAGGCCUUCGGGUCGUAAAGCUCUGUCAAGAGGAAAGAAGUGUACAAUGGCUAAUACCUGUUGUAUUUGACGGUACCUCUAAAGGAAGCACCGGCUAACUCUGUGCCAGCCGCCGC